RNAcentral lists this ribosomal RNA (253 nucleotides) under uncultured Dongia sp. Its description in RNAcentral is "partial 16S ribosomal RNA". It matches the Rfam family "Bacterial small subunit ribosomal RNA", at positions 524 to 776 of the family's 1533-position model. Lineage: Bacteria; Pseudomonadati; Pseudomonadota; Alphaproteobacteria; Rhodospirillales; Dongiaceae. The record is from RNAcentral.
UACGAAGGGAGCUAGCGUUGUUCGGAGUUACUGGGCGUAAAGGGCGCGUAGGCGGUUUAGUAAGUCAGAUGUGAAAGCCCCGGGCUUAACCUGGGAAAUGCGUUUGAGACUGCUUUACUUGAAUUCGGGAGAGGUUAGCGGAAUUCCCAGUGUAGAGGUGAAAUUCGUAGAUAUUGGGAAGAACAUCCGUGGCGAAGGCGGCUAACUGGACCGACAUUGACGCUGAGGCGCGAGAGCGUGGGUAGCAAACAGG